UACGUAGGGUGCGAGCGUUAUUCGGAAUUACUGGGCGUAAAGCGUGCGCAGGCGGUUUUGUAAGCCAGCUGUGAAAUCCCCGGGCUCAACCUGGGAAUGGCAUUUGGGACUGCAAGGCUGGAGUACGGCAGAGGAGACUGGAAUUCCUGGUGUAGCAGUGAAAUGCGUAGAGAUCAGGAGGAAUACCGAUGGCGAAGGCAGGUCUCUGGGCUGAUACUGACGCUCAUGCACGAAAGCGUGGGGAGCAAACAGG
RNAcentral lists this ribosomal RNA (253 nucleotides) under uncultured bacterium. Its description in RNAcentral is "partial 16S ribosomal RNA". It matches the Rfam family "Bacterial small subunit ribosomal RNA", at positions 524 to 776 of the family's 1533-position model. The record is from RNAcentral.